RNAcentral lists this ribosomal RNA (497 nucleotides) under uncultured bacterium. RNAcentral's name for it is "partial 16S ribosomal RNA". It matches the Rfam family "Bacterial small subunit ribosomal RNA", at positions 28 to 507 of the family's 1533-position model. The record is from RNAcentral.
GAUGAACGCUGGCGGCGUGCCUAAUACAUGCAAGUCGAGCGAACAGACGAGGAGCUUGCUCCUCUGACGUUAGCGGCGGACGGGUGAGUAACACGUGGAUAACCUACCUAUGAGACUGGGAUAACUUCGGGAAACCGGAGCUAAUACCGGAUAAUAUAUUGAACCGCAUGGUUCAAUAGUGAAAGACGGUUUUGCUGUCACUUAUAGAUGGAUCCGCGCCGCAUUAGCUAGUUGGUAAGGUAACGGCUUACCAAGGCAACGAUGCGUAGCCGACCUGAGAGGGUGAUCGGCCACACUGGAACUGAGACACGGUCCAGACUCCUACGGGAGGCAGCAGUAGGGAAUCUUCCGCAAUGGGCGAAAGCUUGACGGAGCAACGCCGCGUGAGUGAUGAAGGUCUUCGGAUCGUAAAACUCUGUUAUUAGGGAAGAACAAAUGUGUAAGUAACUAAGCACGUCUUGACGGUACCUAAUCAGAAAGCCACGGCUAACUACGUG